Polyodon spathula (Mississippi paddlefish) is the source of this 1040-nucleotide long non-coding RNA. RefSeq lists it as uncharacterized. The transcript is spliced from 3 exons. Lineage: Eukaryota; Metazoa; Chordata; Actinopteri; Acipenseriformes; Polyodontidae. The record is from RefSeq and is a predicted model, not a curated record.
CAAUGCUGCACUGCCAUCUGCUGGACAAACCUACGCGGCGCCUUUCUGUAAUGUUAUGAAGGUUGUCGUGUGUCAGGCAGUGAAACAGGCGAUCAUCGCUCCAUUCAAAUUGUUAUUGAGCUGUAAGAACAAUUACACACCCGUAAGAAGAGGACUGAGGCCAGCGUGGCUUUGUAUGUACAUUGUUUAGAGAGUGGUUGUAAUGUUAUGUUUACAGUAGGCUGCUGAAUCGAUAUUUGCCCAUAUAAUAAUAAUAGUAAUAAUAAUAAUAAUGUGCAAGAAAGAGAUGACCGCUCCAGGAAGGAGAAAAAAGGAGGGGCAGUGCCCAGAGGAACCGAGCUCCGAAAAACUGAAGGUGAAUAAAACGACAAGGGCACCCGGGAAAGCAGUUACAAGACCUAGCUACCAAACCACUCCAGGAUGCAGAGUCCUCCCAAACAGCCAAACAGAGAAGCAUUAUUCAUUACAUUAACAGGAAUGCACUGGGUCAAAGCAUUCCUACACCUUGCGACAGUGUCUCCAGCAGCUGCUUGUGCAUGCCCUGGCUUCCUACAAGCUCUUCCCGACAGCCAGCCCCUUCGACCGCAGAGUGACAAGCCUGGAGUGGCACCCAAUGCACCCCAGCACAGUUAAACAAGACCUGCUUCAUACAUGGGGUGAGCAAAACAGCAGGGAUGAAGCAAAGUGUACAACUUUUUAUCAAGUGCCUUUUGCAGCCAUCUGCAUAUUCUUUUUUCUUUUUUUUUUUUUUUUAAAUCGAUUCUCGGAGUUGUGCCGUUUGCCGCUAAUUGAUAACUGACUUUUUAAAACAGGAGAUAUCAUUCGUUGCAAAUGCAUUUAUUUAAAUUCUUUAAAUUACAAUUAACAAGCAUGAAGUUAAAUCAAAAACCCAAACCAUAUACCUGUCAAAAUAAAAUAAAAUAAAAUAUAAUAAUAAUUAAACUCUGUUUCCCCUUGCAAAAUGUGGCAAAACUUUUUUUUGUGCAACCCAUUUGUGUGUGUAUGGCACUGAACUACCAAGAGCAAACUGAAAUCUGUCA